Molecule: ribosomal RNA, 361 nt
Filed under: uncultured eukaryote
Lineage: Eukaryota
Description: SSU rRNA
Rfam family: Eukaryotic small subunit ribosomal RNA
Source: RNAcentral
AGCUCCAAUAGCGUAUAUUAUUGAUGUUGCAGUUGAAACGUUCGUAGUCGAACUUUAUCUGUUAAGAGCUCCUUGCAUGCCCAAGGCGUCAGGGAUGCUUCCUACAGAGAGUGCGCUCUCGCUCUCGUUUCGAGGUGUGAGCGCUUUACUUUGAGUUAAUCGGCGUGUUCCACGCAGGCGUGAUGCCUUGAACGAUUUACCAUAGUAUAUAAAGAAUAUGAAAAUUCCUCCUUGACUUUUCGGAGGUUCUUUCGAUACAUAAAAGAACGGUCGAGGGCAUUCGUAUUCAACUGCCAGAGGUGAAAUUCUUUGAUUAGUUGAGGACGAACUAUUGCGAAAGCAUCUGCCAAGGACGUCUCUU